AAAUAGAUACCCAGGUAGUCCACGCCGUGAACGAUGAGUGCUAAGUGUUGGAGGGUUUCCGCCUUUCAGUGCUGCAGCUAACGCAUUAAGCACUCCGCCUGGGGGAGUACGGUCGCAAGACUGAAACUCAAAGGAAUUGACGGGGGCCCGCACAAGCGGUGGAGCAUGUGGUUUAAUUCGAAGCAACGCGAAGAACCUUACCAGGUCUUGACAUCUCCUGACCGCCCUGGAGACAGGGUCUUCCCUUCGGGGACAGGAUGACAGGUGGUGCAUGGUUGUCGUCAGCUCGUGUCGUGAGAUGUUGGGUUAAGUCCCGCAACGAGCGCAACCCUUGGUUCUAGUUGCCAGCAUUCAGUUGGGCACUCUAGAGCGACUGCCGGCGACAAGUCGGAGGAAGGUGGGGAUGACGUCAAAUCAUCAUGCCCCUUAUGACCUGGGCUACACACGUGCUACAAUGGAUGGUACAAAGGGCAGCAAAGCGGCGACGCAUGAGCGAAUCCCAGAAAACCAUUCUCAGUUC
Molecule: ribosomal RNA, 520 nt
Filed under: uncultured bacterium
Lineage: Bacteria
Description: bacterial SSU rRNA
Rfam family: Bacterial small subunit ribosomal RNA
Source: RNAcentral